CAGUUUCUAUCCUCUUUUUGAAAUGAGCUAAUUUUGUACGAAAGGACUUUUUCGCUAAAGCAAUGCUUUGUCACAAAUCUGUGGUUGCAUAAAUAAUAGUGUAUAAUAGGUUGAUUAGCCUAUAGGAAGGGUUA
This 134-nucleotide ribosomal RNA is filed under the name Mytilus edulis (blue mussel). RNAcentral's name for it is "partial 16S ribosomal RNA". Lineage: Eukaryota; Metazoa; Mollusca; Bivalvia; Mytilida; Mytilidae. The record is from RNAcentral.